UUUCGGAGAGUUUGAUCCUGGCUCAGAGUGAACGCUGGCGGCGUGGAUUAGGCAUGCAAGUCGAGCGAUGCGGAUUUAUGAGUAAGGCCGACCGCAAGGAAGGUUUUACAAGUGGAUUUGCAUAGCGGCAAACGGGUGAGUAACACGUGAGCAAUCUACCCCUAGGACUGGAAUAGCCCGGAGAAAUCCGGGGUAAUGACAGAUGUGACUACGAUCUCUCAUGAGGACGUAGUAAAAGACGGGGACUUGUCGCAAGACAGGCCCGUCACCAAGGGAGGAGCUCGCGGCCUAUCAGCUUGUUGGUGAGGUAAUGGCCCACCAAGGCGAAGACGGGUAGCUAGUCUGAGAGGAUGUUUAGCCACACUGGAACUGAGACACUGUCCAGACUCCUACGGGAGGCUGCAGUCGAGAAUCUUUAGCAAUGGGGGAAACCCUGACUAUGCGACGCCGCGUGAGGGAUGAAGGUCUUCGGAUUGUAAACCUCUUUCGACCGGAAAGAAUAUCCUGACGGGUAAUAUCCGUCAGGACUGACGGUACCGGGAGAAGAAGCCACGGCCAACUCCGUGCCAGCAGCCGCGGUAAUACGGAGGUGGCGAGCGUUACUCGGAUUUAUUGGGUGUAAAGGGCAGGUAGGCGGCCUGACAAGUGGGGAGUGAAAUCCUGCGGCUUAAUCGCAGAACUGCUUUCCAAACUAUCGGGCUUGAGUGUGGGAGAGGAGAAUGGAACUCCUGGUGUAAGGGUGAAAUCUGUAGAGAUCAGGAGGAACACCAUUGGCGAAGGCGAUUCUCUGGACCACAACUGACGCUGAACUGCGAAAGCUAGGGGAGAGAACAGGAUUAGAUACCCUGGUAUUCCUAGCCGUAAACGAUGAGUACUGGGUGUUUCGGGUUAAACCGAAGCGCCGAAGUUAACACAUUAAGUACUCCACCUGGGGACUACGGCCGCAAGGUUGAAACUCAAAGGAAUUGACGGGGGCCCGCACAAGCAGUGGAACAUGUGGUUCAAUUCGACGCUACGCGAAGAACCUCACCAGGGUUUGACAUAUAGGUAGUAGGAACCUGAAAGGGGGACGACUCGUUAAGCCGAGUGCCUAUACAGGUGUUGCAUGGCUGUCGUCAGCUCGUGCCGUGAGGUGUUGGGUUAAGUCCCGCAACGAGCGCAACCAUCAUCCUUAGUUGCUACCGAAGGAUCCGAAAGGGUUCUGGCGAGCACUCUAAGGAGACUGCCCGUGAUAAACGGGAGGAAGGUGGAGAUGACGUCAAGUCCGUAUGGCCCUUAUACCCUGGGCUACACACGUGUUACAAUGGGAUGUACAGAGCGUUGCCAAACCGCGAGGUGGAGCUAAUCGCAAAAAGCAUCCCCCAGUUCAGAUUGGAGUCUGCAACCCGACUCCAUGAAGUUGGAAUUGCUAGUAACGGCGGAUCAGCUACGCCGCCGUGAAUACGUUCCCGGGCCUUGUACACACCGCCCGUCAAGCGAUGGGAGCCGGUAGUACCCGAAGUGGCGACAACGCCCCUAAGGUAAGACUGGUGACUGGCGCUAAGUCGUAACAAGGUAGCCGUAUCGGAAGGUGCGGCUGGAUCACCUCCUUUCUA
This 1595-nucleotide ribosomal RNA is filed under the name Candidatus Velamenicoccus archaeovorus. RNAcentral describes it as "bacterial SSU rRNA". It matches the Rfam family "Bacterial small subunit ribosomal RNA". Lineage: Bacteria; Pseudomonadati; Candidatus Omnitrophota. The record is from RNAcentral.